GGCGGAAUGCUUUACACAUGCAAGUCGAGCGGCAGCGCGGGGCAACCUGGCGGCGAGCGGCGAACGGGUGCGUAACACAUCGGAACAUGUCCAUUCGUGGGGGAUAGCCCGGCGAAAGCCGGAUUAAUACCGCAUGAGCCCGAGAGGGGAAAGUGGGGGACUCGAAAGGGCCUCACGCGGAUGGGUUGGCCGAUGUCCGAUUAGCUAGUUGGCGGGGUAAGAGCCCACCAAGGCGAUGAUCGGUAGCUGGUCUGAGAGGAUGAUCAGCCACACUGGGACUGAGACACGGCCCAGACUCCUACNGGAGGCAGCAGUGGGGAAUUUUGGACAAUGGGGGCAACCCUGAUCCAGCCAUUCCGCGUGAGUGAAGAAGGCCUUCGGGUUGUAAAGCUCUUUUGUCCGGAGCGAAAAGGUUAGCGUGAAUAUCGCUGACUACUGACGGUACCGGAAGAAUAAGCACCGGCUAACUACGUGCCAGCAGCC
Molecule: ribosomal RNA, 483 nt
Filed under: uncultured beta proteobacterium
Lineage: Bacteria; Pseudomonadati; Pseudomonadota; Betaproteobacteria
Description: bacterial SSU rRNA
Rfam family: Bacterial small subunit ribosomal RNA
Source: RNAcentral